This 19535-nucleotide long non-coding RNA is filed under the name Gossypium raimondii (Peruvian cotton). RNAcentral describes it as "long non-coding RNA (GRAI_LNC003943)". Lineage: Eukaryota; Viridiplantae; Streptophyta; Magnoliopsida; Malvales; Malvaceae. The record is from RNAcentral.
UUUCGAAAAAGGAGCUAGCCGAUAGUUACGUUGGAGUUGGACUCCGAGUUCAAACAAAGCAUUUUCAUAACCCAAUUUUUUUCUUCAAACACAAAUCAAAGGGAGAAAAAAGAAUGGAAGUGGAGGGUUCAUCGAAGAAGAUGAUAGCAACACAAGCAGAGAUGGUGGAGAACAAGGUCCCCAUCCCGUACAGGGAUCAAUGUGCACAUCUUCUCAUCCCGCUCAACAAGUGCCGCCAAGCCGAGUUUUACUUACCUUGGAAAUGCGAGAUUGAACGCCACUCCUAUGAAAAGUGCGAGUACGAGCUCGUCAUGGAGAGGAUGCUGCAGAUGCAGAAGAUCCGUGAAGAAGAGGCCAAGUUGAAACAGGCUGGGAAACAGGGCGUUUCUGUUCCUCUCAUUCCCAAAACUGCUAAUGCUUAAGCUGCCUCCAGGGUCAGUCAAAUUUUCUUUUCUUUCUUUCUUUUUGUUUCAGUUUCUUUUAUAUAUAAUUUAAUAACUGGAUAUUUAUCUAUUGAUGUUUUCGUUCAUAGUUUGUUGAUGGGUUCAUUGAUCUUUGUAUUGAGGGUUGUUUAAGUUCCAAAAUUUUGGGGUAUUUAGCUAGGUUAAAUUUUUGUUUUUUUCUUUCUUAGUUGGCAUGGUGGAUUGGUUUAACUUUUUUAGGGCUUUGUUUUAAUCAAGGUUAGCUGCUAUAUGUUCGACAGAAUUUUCCUGUCUGCUCUUAUUAUUGAAAUUGAAGCGUUUAACCCUUUCUUUCCCUCUGUUGGAUAUAAGAUUAAAGGAUUUGAGACUCUGUUUCUCUAUUGUCAAUACUUCUGAUGUUUUUACUGGUUUCCUGUUUUCUAUUAAGGGACUUAUUUUCAUUUGGUCUAUUUAUAGUAGGGUGUAGUGAUUUGGGGGUUUAUUUGUUUGGUUCUUGUGGCAUUUGAUUGGAAAGAAAAGGUAAACUGGAUGUGUCCGUAUCAAUCAGUUUCUGCUUUGGGGUCUUUUUGUCCAUGGAAUUUUGUAUGAUUUAGAAUUUCAUUUUGAAGAUUUUGAAAUUGGUAUUAGGUUGUUCUUGCCUAAUGACUCGAAAUAUGGUGGGGGGAUUCUCGUAGUGAGAUUGAGAACAACAUGCAUUCUGGAUAAGCCCCGUAGAUGGGUUUGAGUAAGACUAUUAACAAUCAAGUUUUUUUUGGUCCUUGGUUAUUGAGAUUGCGUAUUAUGCUUUAAGAGUAAAUCGGUAUAUUCUUGAUACUUUUUUCAGUUACCCGUAUGUUCCUGUUUAGUAGGUGUAGCCAAUGGAAAUUUUUUUAUUAUGGUCAGUAUAAGAUAGUCUGAUAGCAAUGUAAAGAAGAAAUAGGAGUUUGACAACAAAGCACUGAAUUCAUACAUGCAGAUGCAUAAAAGUGGAAUAUCCCAGUUAUUUACCAAACAUGAGUUCUGAUUUACCAUUAUUUAGUUUGAUUGUUCUUGCUUGUUCCCCUCAAGUGGUGCUGGUAUCCUAGGAGAUCUGGGCUAGUGAAUAUAAUAAUGUUGCUGUUUUAAAUCCAAGAUAUAGCCUUAUGUUUAGAGCAUGAAAGGAACAUAAUAAAGAGUAAAGAACUUGUAUGCAGCUACCUGUUUGAUGAUGCAUUGUGCUGACAAUAAUCUCUAUGUUGAUGGAAAUGUUUGGUCAAUGUUUAAGAGUACUUUAUAAGUUUAGGGAAUGUAUCAAUUUCUUGACAAUAAUAUUAUAGUAGCAAAAGUCUUGCAGUGAUUACAAGUAUUGGUUGACAUCAGGUUCAGGGUUCAAACCCUAGAUAGCCCCUUCCCCUUCCACUCUUAACAAUUGGCCAAAAGAAAAACUUAAUUGAAGGAACAAAUAUGAUAUUUGCAAAUUCUGAAAGCAGAAGAAUGUCAUACUCACAACAAUGCCUGGAUUAGAAGCUGAAAUUAGGCACUAGUUAUACUCGUUUCGUUUUUUCACUUGCCUUAGUAUAGUACUCUUAAGUCCUAAGUACAAACUUUACUGAUGUUACUGCAAAAGUCUAUUUCAGCAGCUUUUAGGUACAUUUCCGGUCAUUUAACCGUAUUCACCACUCUUAAUAUCCAUUAGACUGGUAGAUAUUCUCUUCUAAGGAAAAAAGUAAGUCUAGCGUGCAAUAUGUUUCCAUGGACAACAAAAUGAAUGAUCCAAAUUUAAGAACUAUUGACUUUCCCUAGUCCAGAAGAUUCUUUACAUAUAGAAGAAUAAAAAAAGAUGGGUACAAUGCAAUUUUGUUAUGUUCAGUCUCGAAAUAAUUUAGUUGCUAAUAAUACAUUCCAACGGAUAUUGUUUUUCGAUUUUCAGAUUAAUAUUUUAUUGGGCUUUAGUUUUUGUAAUAUUGCUGUUAAAGCUUUAAUGAUUUUCUUUUUCAUUUGCCAUGAGUUCUGCUUAUAAUACCUUGUUUAAAUACAUGGCAGGAAGGUUUAGACAGCUUGGUGGAUAUUUGAUGUUUGUCACCUGUCUGGGAGAAAUUUGAAACUGUUUGUUGUGGACGAAUGUAAGGACUAUUUCAUUUGUGAUCUGUCAUCAGCUCAUCAACUUUGUUUAUGGAAUAAAGUUGCUCAUCAAAGUGGACAUGUUCUUUUUCAGAUAUAUUUGUAACAAUGGUUUUCACUUACCCAACUAGGUAAAUAUGCUUCAGGUUGGUGUUUAUUUAAUUGCAACAGAUAUACGAUGGAUAUGCUAUUUGAUCAAUGGGGGCAAACAGAUCAUGGCUUUAGCUAACAAGUUUAUAGUUCAAUCACUUCACCAUGUAAUACAUCAAAAACAAAAAGAAAAAUACACGAUUUCACCGAGUCGAUGGGGGCAUUGAUACAUGUAUAGUGUCUAGAAACCCAAUAAUUCAUUGAUCAUUCAAAUUCAUUAGACAUUGGGGAAUUCUAUGUGCUUGACAAAGUUAAAGAGCUCGUUUCUAUAAGAAUUUUCAAGCUAAGUCAAGGCCUAUUUCUGUAAGAAUUUACGGGUUCGAGCCUAACUCGAUUACUUUUACUCUUUCCAAAAAAGGCAUAUAGUUAAGGUUUUUUUAAUGCACCUCGGUUCUUAAAGUUAUGAAAUAUUUUUAUUUCAGUCCCAGCUAAUCAUAUACUAUCGGAUGUCAAAGUGAUGUCAUUAUUCGAAAAACUAUAAAUAAUUUUUAAAAAUUGGAAAAAAAAAUUAAAAAGUUAGAAAAAAAACUAGUAAUACUAUUAAAAGUUAAAAAAUAAAAAAAUAUAUAAUAUAAAAAAUUUACUAAAUAUUUUAAAAUAUAUAUAUUAGAAAUUUUAAUAUCUUCAAAAUUUUCUAAAUCGCAUUACUAAAUCUUGAAUACGAAAUUGUUAGCUUUUAGAAGUUAGAAGGAUACCAUCUACAAUUACUUUUAUUCAAUCAAUAGAAAUUUAUAAUUGGUAGAUCUUUUUAGCUUAUAAAUUUGGAUAAUUUUUUUCAGUUUAUUUAAAUAAUAAAAAUAAUUUUAUUUCAGUUAAAUAAUAAUUAAAAAAAUAUUUUUAAUUAUUCCAGAUAUUUUUUACUAUCUCAAGACAAAUAAUUUGUUUGUAGACCAAUAUCUUAAGAACUAUGGUCGAGUCAGGGGCAAAGCCAAAAAAAUUUUUUAGGGGGUGCCGAAAUUAAAUUGUAAUUUUUACAAUAGUAAAAAUACAAUUUUUAAAAGAAUAAAUCAAAAUUUUAUCAUUGUUAGGGGGAUAAAAUACAAUUUUACCUUUACUAAUUUAAAAUUUUAAAAAUUUUAAAGGGUAUAAAUGAAAAAAAUUCUAUUUUAGGGGGGUUGGGCCCUACCAGCCCCACUGGAUUUGCCCUUGGGUCGAGUGUUUAACCAUUCUAAAACACUUUGAUACAAAAUAAAAGGAACAUGUGCAUGAUGAUGGGUGAUGGAUGGAAGCUUACUCAGACAUUAAAUAGGUAGUCAAGUCAAACAAACAUAUUGCUAGUAACAUUGGUAUAGUACUAAAAUUUGAUAUACUUUAAAAUAUUAAAAUUUAUUCAAAUUUUAUUAAAAUACUUUUAAAACAACUUUUUUUAUUAUAAAAAUUGAUUUUAUUAGGACAGACAAUUUUUAUAUGAAAUAGUUAAUAUUUUCAAUGUAAUUACAGAAUGUAUACUUUAUUCCAAGUUGCAACAAUUUUUACUAUUUAAAAAAAAUUACAAUCUUUUACAAUUUCUAAUAAUUUUUAUAAUUUCUUACAAUAUUUUACAAUUUCUAUUUUUUAUAAUUUUUUAUAAUUUUUAAAAAUUCUAACAUAUUUUUAAUUUUUGAAUAUUUUUUUUUGUAAUUUUUAUAUAAUUUUUAAAUUUUUAAAAAAUUCUAACAUGUUUUUAAUUUUUAAAUAUUUUUGUAAUUUUUAUAUUUUUAAAGAUUUUUAGGGUUUUUUUCAAAUGAUGAUUCAUUGUGAGUCAACGUAUGUCACAUGGAAAUUUAUGGUUGGCUGGAUAUCUCAACCAUUUUUUAACUUCCAAAGGACUAAACUAGGAACAUUGGAUAACAUUAGGGACUGAAGUGGUGAAAGAAAAACUUUAAGGAUCAAAGUGGAAAAAAUAGUAUAUGUUACGGACUAAAGUGUAGAUUAAGCCUUUAAAAAUGAAAUUAAAAAUAAUUUUAUAUUUAUAUUUAUAUUCUUUUAUAAUUAAAUUUAAAUAAAAAUAAAUUUAAAAUUAUUUAAUUUUAAUUCGAACAAGCUAGGUUAACUUGAAGUUGAAAAUUUUUUGUCCAACCCAACCCAAAUAGGUUGAAUCAACCAAGUCAGAUGGGCCACUUGGGCCAUGAGUAAGUCUAAUUAGACGAUUCUUGAUGUCAUAAGAAUUAAGUUGGAGGUAGAAUUGAUUAUAUUUCUAAUUUUUAAAUUAAUUAAUUCAACCACUUAUUUUUUUAAAAAAUAUUAAUAAUAAUUAAAAAUAUUUUUUAAAAAAAUCAAAGAUAAAAAUGAAUCAAACAUGAUAAGAAAAAAUUCAAAAUUUUUUGUUAAAGAAAUAAAAGUUUUAAAAUCUGAUUUCCUAAAUUUUUAACUGAUUGUUUCGAUCUUUAAAUUGUCAAUAUGAAGUUAUUCUAAUUUAUUUUAAAUAUAUAUUAUCAGAUAAAUCUCUAAUUUUUAAUUCAAUUAGUAGAUUCGAGUCAUUCCUAUCUAAACAAUUAUUGAGUUGAUUUUUCAACUUGGACCUCAUCAAUUUUAUUAGUUUCAAUAUUGUUGUUCACCCAUAUUAUGCUGACUACUAUGGGGCAUAUGUCCUUUAAGAUAUAUUGUCGGAUACUUAAGUCAUUUACUCAUUAAUCACUAGGUAAUAGCCUGUACACUAGAGGCUCUUGAAGGAAUUUAGGUUUCGAGAUAUUGCUUUGGGCUUUUGCUUCCUACCAUCAUAAGUUAAACUUGAAAAUAUUAAAUGUGAUAUGAAUAAGAUACAGAUAAUAUGAAAAAAUAUUAAUAUUUAUAUUACACAUAUUAUUAAUUAUCUUAAACUUAUAUAAACAACAAAUAUUUCAAACAUAUUUUUUUGCCAACAAAUAUUUCAGACAUGAUUGUAUUAUGAAACUAACAUAAUGUGACGAGUCUAACGUAGGAUUUAAAUUUUUAAAUAAAGUAUAAUAGUUAGAUUUUUGUUGUUGUAAGAAAAUUAGAAAAAUCAAUAUAUCAAAUAAGUUAGUAACUAUUAUCCUUGAAAAGUCUUGCAUCCAAAAAGACCAACAAUGCUCCGAAGGUUGCAUGGAAAGUAUAAGCUUGGUUCCUUCCCUCUUGUUAACUUGUGUAUGAAAUCGACAACUCUAUUUGGUUCUCGGAAUGUAUGUUAGAAAACCACAGUCCAUUCUCUUCCACACAGCUCAUCUAUUUGCUUUAUAAUGCCCACAUUGCUUCCCUCUAUGUCCUCAUUCAACCACUACACUAUACUGACACUAUCACUUUUGACAAUGAAAUGCUUAAACCCAAUAAGCCAAGCAAAAUGGAAGCCAUCAAUAAUUGCCCAUAGUUCCACCAUUUCCACGGAGCAUGACCCCAAACUUCUAUUAUAUAAAAAAACCCACAUCCCUUUAUCGUCCCUUAUAACUUUUCCUGCUAAAGCUUGCCUGUUGGCCAAAUUCCAAUACCCAUCUAUGCUAAUUUUAGUGUUGGAUUUAGUGCCAUUAGUGUAGUUUUUCGUCUAUAUGUACUUGUAUUUUUCAAACAAAUUAGUUUAUAAAAUAUCCAUCAGUUACAUUAAUAUUCUUUGUAUAUUGUCCUAAAUAGUUUUUCACGCAAAGCAAAUAUUGACUCAAUGAUCAUCUAACAUUUAACUAAUACUAAAUAGUAUUACGUGGUUGGAUCAUAAUACGAAAAGACAACUUAUAUAAUAGAUAAUCUAAACAUGUCCUUAGUCUAAUUGAAAAUGAGCACCUCUAUCAGAUCAAAUUGGGGAGAUAUCAUGUCUUAGGUAUUAGAGUGAAUGACUCCUAAAAGAUAAAGACAUAGAUGUGACUGACUGAACUAACAAUACAUCGAAUAGGACCCAAGUAGAAUAGAUCCUAAAUUUGUUUAUGAUUUUAUUCACUUGUGACAUUUAUAGUGUACAUACAUCAAUCUUGAGAGGAUGAUGGAAUAUUAUACAUGACUCGUAUACUUUGAUGUAAAUGAAAGCCUGAGUUCAAAUAGAAAAGGAACUGAAAGUUGGUACAUUGGGUAUACAACUUUUGCAGUUCGUAACAUCAUUCAAAAUAGUGGAAUUCAUAACUCAACUAAAGGGUAAAUGAUAUCCUCUUAUUGGCAUUACAUGAUAGAUGAAAACUGAAACAUAGUCAUGAGUCAUUUUUCUUUGUGAUAAAUGAUUUAAUUAUUAUUUGAUAGUAAUUGACUUUUCAUGAAGAAAGAUGUAAUGGUUAACAUGAGAUAAAAUAGGAUCAUAUUGGAAGAACAAAUUUAUCCCAAAGAGAUUAAAUAUAUCCUAUGAGGGUAAAACACUUAUGACAAGGUCAUUGGACAAACACUUAUUGAGUAGCUUUCGUAAUGGUAUAUAAUAAAGGAGAGCUCGGUCACGAUACUUUAGUGGAAUGACUUUGUGAUGCAUGCACAAACGGGGUGAAAUUUGUUAAAUUCCAUUCACCGAAGCUGCCAAUUUUCAAGUUAGGAAAAUCAAUCGACUUGCAAUGACUUUUUGGAUGGGAUCCAGACAUUUCUAGGCUGUAAUGUCUUCAUAGAGUUCGAAGAUAUAUCUCUUAGAUUUAAAAAUAACUUUGAAUCAUUUGAUUUCGAGUUCACGAGUUCAAGUUAUGACCAUUUUAGUGAGACUGCGUAAAUAGAAUUUUUGAUUAUUAUGAAAAUUGCAAGUUUUGGGAUUUUAAUUUAGGUUUAUAUAAUAUUUUGUUUGAUUUUUGGCUUAAUUUUUAUUAUAUAUGAGCUUAAUAUUGUAUUUAUUAGGUUUUAUCAUUUCAUUAUUUAUUUAUUAUGAAAUUUGGAUAUAUUGUUUUAAGUAUUUUAAGUUAUUUAGGGAUUUUAUGUUUCUUAGUCAAUAAGAAAGUUAUUUAGGGAUAUAUUAUUUCAUUAUUUAUUACCAAGUUUUCUUUCUUGGAGGAGAAAUUAGAGUCGUUUGGAGGGAGUUAUGGAUUCAUCUGGUUUCCAAGGCUCUUUUCCAGCAUGUAGAAGUCGUAAGGAGCCUUGGAAACCAGAUGAAUCCAUAAGCCCCUUCAAACAACUCUAAUUUUUCCUCCAAGAAAGAAAACUUGGCAAGAAAAAGCUUGAAGAUAAUCCCCACAAUCUGGAAAGAUUGUUAAAACUCUUCUAAAAGAAAACUCAAAAAGAAUUUUAUUAACUCAAAAAGAAAAGUUGUUGAAUGAAUUAUGAAAUAUGUACAAUGAUGGAGCCUUUAUAUUGGCUAACUAAGUACAUCCAAAUAAAACUCUCAAGUAUACUGGAACUCUAAUUAAUCUAAAUAAAAAGUAGUUUUAAACUAAACUUUCUUGUUGACUAAAAAACAUGAAACUCCUAAAUAACUUAAAAUACUUAAAAAUAUAUCCAAAAUUUGGAAUAAAUAAUGAAAUAAUACGACCUAAUAAAUACAAUAUUAGGCUCAUAUAUAAUAAAAAUUAAGCCUAAAAAUUGGACCCAAUAUGAUUGAAACUCAAAUUAAAAGCUCGAAACUCGUACUUUUCAUAAUAAUCUCGUUCAGAAAUUAUGUUCGCAUAGUAUUUACUAAAACGGUCAUAACUUGAUCUCCCAAACUCGAAAUUGAGUGAUUCAAUGUGAUUUUCGAAGCUAAGAGAUAGAUCUUUGAACACUAUGAAGACAGCUCAACUAAGAAAUGCUUGGAUUCAAUCCAAAAGUCAUCACAAGUUGGUUGAUUUUCCAAACUUGAAAAUUGAUAGCUUUAUUGAAUGGAAUCUAAUAAAUUUUAACCUAUCGGUGCAUGUAUCACUUCAUGACUAAAUAAUUUUAUAAUUAAUAAGUGAAAAGUCAGAACUUAAUUAUAAAUUAUUUUAGCCCUAAUUAUUAAUUGGUCUCUCCACUAGCUCGAGAUAACUAGAAACGAAUUACAUGUAGAACCAAUGAAUGAAAAUGAUGAAAUAGGAGAAAUAGAUCGCAUGUAUCACUAUCCGCAAUGAAUGCAUUUUCUCGCUAAGGACAAGAAAUGACUUAGAAAUUAGCUUAAUGUUUUUUAAUUAUAAUUAAAUAAUUGGAGUUCGAAGAUAAAAUUAGAUUAGUCAAGUCAUUAUGAAUUUAUUGAAUAAGGAAAUUAAAUAUAUUUUCUUUAUAGAUUCUAUUACGUUAAAGUUAUUAUGAUUUUAACGGAAUUAUAAUUGAGCUGAGAAAAUUAUUUAAUUGAGAAAUUAAUUUAGUUAAUGUAAUUAGUUAAAUUAAUUGGUCAAAUAAUAUUUUUUUUGGAUAAUAGAAAAUAAAUAUUGGGUUGGAUAAAUUAUAAGUAUUGGAUUAAAAGUCCAUAAAACACAUAUAAUUGGACUAAAUACAUGAUAGGCCCAAAGUGGAGCUUUGUAUGAGAUACAAUGGGUAGCAACCUUGGUAUUUCUAGGUUGUCAUCACCCCCUACUUCAUUUAGAGUAGAAUUGUAUUUUCUAUUAAAAUAAAAUUAUUUAUUUAGAACUUAUUCAAGCAGAACUCUUAUACAUUUCUUAUAAAUAGAGACCACCGGUUGACCUAAAUACACAUUUGAUAGAUGUCGUUAUUUUACCAGAAAGUAGUGGUAAUUUAUUUACAAAUAAUGAAAUCAAUUUUCUGGGAAUAUCGAAUAAUUAUCGGUUUAAUAAGAGAAUUUACUUUCCCAUAAAAAGUAAAUAAAUUGUUUUCAUUCUGUGACUUGGUUUGUGUUGCUUGAGCCUACACACGAGGCAAUUUGUGGUUCGAGGAUAGCGGAGAAGGUUGUUCGGUUGAAAUAAGGAUAAACUUUAGUCCCCCUUACACAAAGUACAUCUACAUCUACAUCUCAGUUAUGGUUUAUUGUUAUAAAUAACAUAACAGACUCGGUUUAAGAAAAAUUGUAAACUUGCGUUAUAGCUAAAAUAAUUGUUUUCUUAACUGAAUUUUCCAACUUUUGAUCGAUCCAAGGUUUGGUUUCAUCCACUUGUUAUCUUCCUUGUUUCAAUUAAAGGGUCCUUUGCCUCUACUAUUGGUAGCAUUGAAACAAAUAGUCUAGCUUCAAUAAUACAACAAGCUGAAACACUCAUACAUUGCCUUGUUGGAAAAUAUAGUUGUUCUAUUGCUCCCAUAAUUUCUGGCAACGAAUAGCAAAAAAAAAUUCCCAAUAAAACUUAUAAAAAACAAAAGAGAUAAAGAAUUUUACAGGUUUGAGCAAAUCCAAUCAUUCAGAGACAAUGAAAAGAACCUAUCAUGUUCAGAAUUAGGGAUUACUUGGGUCUGGACAGAUCUCGUUAUAUUGCAGUCCUUAAGAACAUGGAUGAUAUCCUUAAUUGGUACACCAUACAUCGAGCAACUAUCUGACCUAGCUAGUCCCCUCCGACAUCUUUCGACAUUAGUUAUAAUUCUAUUAUGAAAAGCUAGCGAUAGGAAUUGCUUAGCUCUUUGCAAAAUAGGUGAUUUCCAAAGCAACUCCCAUUUGCUAGACUUUGGCUUCCAUAAAUGCUUAGCUUUGAAUCUAUAAGUUUAUAUAGUGGUCAACUUACCAUUAAUAGAUCUUGACUAAAUACAUUGGUCCUCUUUACCAUGUGCAUUCAACUAUUGUAUACUUGUAAUUUGCAUUAUGAGGGAAUCAUCCAACAUGCCUUUAAUUCUUAACCAAUCCCAAUCACAAUGGUUAUUGACAUUUCUCAAACCAAUAUUCAUUGCAUCGUAUUAGAGCAUAGAAAGCAAUAAAACUUUAAUGGCCCAAAAUUACGAACCUAAGAAUCCAUCCAGAAACUAACUUUCGACCCAUUCCCAAUAGACCAAAUCAAUGUUUCUCUAAGCAUAUCAUAUAUUCUCAUAAUCGAAUGCCAAAAAUACAUGGGAAGAAUUACUUCUCUUUAUAUCGAGAAGGCAUCUAACACUAAACUUAUAAUUUGAUUUAAGCACUCUAACCCAUAAAAUUGUGUUAUUAUUUACAAGCUUGAAUCCAAGCUUUAGCAAGAGUGAAUCAUUCUAAUCUUUUAAUUUCCUUAGUCCUAAAACCCUAUUUGUAGUAGAUCGACAUAAUGUAUUCCAUGCCACAAGAAGCUUUUAGAUUAUUUUCUAAUGACCUUCAAAUAAAUCUUCGAAUAACCUUUUCAAUCUCUUCACAUUUGCCCUUCAUAACCUUGGUUGUUUGCAGAAAAUAGUUAGGAAUAAAGAGUAACACUAAUUUAGCUAAAGUAACUUUACCCGCUAAAGAUAAGAGAUGAGCAUUCUGACCAUUGAGCUUUUGACAAACUUUAUCCAGCACAAAGGAAAAAAAAAACCUCUUCAUAAAUCUUUGAUGGAAAAGUGGCACUCUCAAAUACUUGCCAAGAUCCUUCACCUAUUGAAAACUCAAUCUAGCACUUAAAGAAAUGACAACUUCUUCAAAAUUAUUAUUAGAGAAGAAGCUCACUUUUAUGACCUGAUUUGAUGUAGAAUUGGUUUAAAAUUUUGUGCAUGAGUGAAGCAUGAUCCAAAUCCUUUAUACCCAAAAGCACUAAGUUGUUAGCAAAAUAUAAAUGGGACAAAGGAGGCUCAUUCAUCACAAGUCUAAUUGGUUUCCAUGACACACCCUCUAUAAUCGAACUAAUGUAAAAGCCCAAUUUCUCCAUACCAAGGACAAAUAAGUAUGGUGAGACAGAAUCACCCUGGUGUAAUCCUCUAGAAUAUAUGAAGGUUGUCAUCGAUGACCAAUUCUAAAGAACCUACAUAAACAAAGGUGAAACACAAUACAUGAUAGGACAAUGCAUUUUAACAAGAAUACCAAUGUCAAACAAACACUCAUCCAAGAAAUCCCAAUGCAUGCGGUCAUGUCUUCUCCAAAUCAACCUUAAUAGUCAUCCAAGCAAUAUUGCCUUUCUUGACUCACAUUGAAUGAACAACUUCUUCUACUAUCAUUGUUAUUAUCAGAGAUAUGCUUCCCUAAAGCUUACUUGAUUCGAAGCUAUAAGAUUAGGAAGGAAUUUGUGAAGUCUAAUUAGCAAUCACUUUUGUCAGGAUUUUGUACAGCACAUUACAUAAACUAAUGGAACAAAAAUUAAAAAUCUAUAAUAUGCAAAAAAGGAUAUAACUUACUCGUCACUCAUAAAUAGCAACUUGUUCAUCCAAGUAUGCAAACUUUAAAUUUGAUAUCAUUUAAUCCAAAACUUUAAACUUGUACAUAAGCCUCAAAUGGAAUUGACUUUCAAUCGGUGUUAACAAUAAUUUUAUUUGUGAUAUUUUUAUGUAUUUUUUUUUCAUGAAAGAAAACAAACUUGAAAUUCUAACCAUUUAUGUGUGGAGGAUUUGUUGUUCACUUUGAAAAAAUAGGAAAAUGUUUUACCAUAUCAAUCGGUUACAAGUUAAUACCAAAAUUUGUAAUGCAAUACCAAUAUCUCCAAUGAAAAUCGUUAGAUAUUUUACUAUACCAAAAUUUUCCUUUUCCUACUUGUGUGUGGGGACCAAUAACAUGUACCAAAACUUUCUAAUGUUAUACCAAUAUUCUAAUGCAUACCAAAAUUUCCAAGGGAUGUCCUUAGAUAUUUUGAUAUACCAAUUUUUAUAACGUAUACCAAAAUCUUUAACAGAUACCAAAAUUUGUAACCAAAUACCAAAAUUUCUAAUGAUACCACCAAAAUUUGUAUCGGAUACUAAUAUUUCUAAUGGAAAUCAUUAGAUAUUUUGGUAUGCCAAAAUUUUCCUUUGCCUGCCAAUGUAUGAGGACCAAUAACUUGUACCAAAAUUUCUAGCGUUAUACCAAUAUGUUGGAUCGUCGGUACACCCUUUGGUGUGGAAGAAAAAUUAUUAUAGAAAUCACAACCAAGGAUCCAUGUACGAGGAACGAACACAAGUUUAAGAAAGAUUGAAAAUAUACCUUUAAUAAUUUGGAAACAAGUAUAGUACAAAGGGGAUCCUUCUGCCUGUCUCGCAAGCCACAAUCGCAAUGUAAAGUCCUGGCCUCUAUGUGACUCACUUGGAAGAGAAUGAUAAGAAAGUUCUUUGAACUAUUUAGAGAAAAAAUGAAUUUUUUUCUUUUUGCUAGUAAAGAUAGAUUUCGGAUGAAAACAAAAACUAAGAUUAAGCAUUUUUCAAAAACAAGUUUUAAUUCCCUUGAAACUCUUAGAGGGAAAAUAGGAUAUAUCUUUUAACCCUUCAACCAAUUUUUUUUAUUAAAUACAAUAUUUAAUAAAUUCAAUUAGGCAGGCUUAUAAAAUUAAAUUAUAUGAAACACAUUUUUCAUACUAUUUUAAUUGAGUUCUAUAUAUACAUAUGCUUCAAGUAUGUACAUAUAUUAUGUUUAAUUUUAACAUUUUUAAAUUUAAUUAAUUAUUAGAACAUUUCUAUAAUCAAUUUAACUUUUGUGACAUUUUAAACAUAGUCUCAACUUUCAUUACAUUCUGAUUGUCUCAACCAAAGGGUGUGACCUAUAAGAUUCUAUAACGGUGGGAAUAACAUUGAGAAGAUUAUAAUUUUACAAAUUGUGAGUGACAUCUAGCAAUGCAUCAUUUCUACGUAAGUCACAAGAAGUCAUGGUUCAACAUGGUUUUCUAUGACAAUAUUAUUACGUGUAACGUCCCUUUGUCCUUUAUAUCUAUAUUGAACACGAGUCAUGAAAUAGUCAAACUUGUAUGGUCUAAUCUCUUAUUUCUUGAUUCCCGUGUAGACUAAGAUAAACAAAUAAGUGUGAUAUCUCAUAUAAACUAAUUUGAGCAUGGUCAUGUAUUUUUUGUCUCAUUUGAUCAAGAGGCCUAAGAUAUUUCUCUCAUUAUGUAGGAGGGACAAAUCCUAUCUUGAUCAAUCACAUCUCACUACAUAGAUUAUGGCACACCCAACAUUAGUCCUUAAAGUACAACCAUUUACGGAAGAGGUUUGAUUGUGUCAAAGCGUAUGACUCAAGAUGUUGGAAUAAUGAUGAUCUCAAGUCUUAGAAUCAUACAUAUAAUUAUCACUAUGAGAAAUAUUAUGACUAUUACAUAAUAAUCCAAGAAAUAUUCUCAUAGCAGGUCAGUCCAAUACGUUGUUCUCUAACAUGUACUUAUGCAUUAACUUUGACAUGUUGGGAAAUGUGUUUGCAUGAUAGUAAACAUGUAGUUGUUUUAUAUGUAUUUGAACAAUGAAUAAAUAAAUAAAAUUAAUUUCACAUUUCACUAUAUUUUGUGUUUGUCUUUCAUGUUUUGCAUACAUAGCGAAAUUGUGAUAAGCAAAUGUCAGCUCAUUGAUUUAUCUAAGUUCAAGCUGAUAAUAAUUGGCACUGUAAGAAGGUUUACAUUGCGAGAAAGGUAACUUACUUCAGUAGAUAAUCUAAACGAGUUCAUAAUCCCGUAAAAGAAUCAAAGUGAACAUUUGAUUCAAAUACUUAGAAGGAUUAUUAUGUCAUCUACAAUUCCAAAUAGAGAGAUGACUAAUCUUGGUUAUCGGAGUAGUUGACUCCAUGGGUUGAGAUAUUAAUGUACUCAUUGGAAGAAUGAUACAUUGGCCUGGACCCAAGUUGAAUUAGUACUGAAUCCGUUUGUGAAUUAAUUCACUUGUGAUAUUCAUAGUCUGACUUACCUAAAUCCUGAGUUAGUCAUUGACCAUUCGUAUAUAACCCAUAUGAAUUGAUAUAAGUGGAGGCUUAUGCUCUAAAGAUGAUCGAGUCGAUAGUAGUUAUGUUGGGUACAUGACUUAUGUAUGGCAUGGUUUUACUAGAAAUAAUAGAAUUCAUAGCUCGAUUAAAGAGUUAACGAUAUCCUCUCAUUGAAAUUGUGUGGAUUGAUAAAUAUGAAAUGUGGCCACGAGUUACUUCUUCUCGAACGAGUAAUUUAUCACAGUCAUUAGUUGACAGUGGUCAUAUUAAUUAUUAAGAAGACACAAUGGUGACAAUGAGAUAAAACAAGAUUGCAUUAAGUGAACAAAUUUAACUCAAGAAAUCAAGGAUAUCAUAUGAGGGUAACACACAUAUGGCGAAGUCAAUGGACAAAGCAAUUGGAUGAAUUGCUUUCAUAAAGAGUAUACAAUAAGGAGUUUUCAAUCAUGAUACUUCUUGUGAACUAACUUUAUAGUUAAGUAAAUUUCAAAUUAUCAGAUCGAUACUUCUAGACAUAAUUGCAAUUAACUUGAGCCUAAUUGUAUAUGUCCAAUUGGUCCAUUCGCUAGAGUGACAAAAGCUCGAUCAGACUGCAUUUGAAUCAAAAGAAAAUUAUACGACAUUGAGAAUAAUUUAAUUGAGUCGAUUUAUUCAAUGUGGAAUUAAAUUAGGUGGUCAUGAGAAUUAUUCAACUAGAGAAUUUGGUUAAAGAAUUUUCUUGAAAAAUUAAUUUGGAAAAUCUCAGUGAUUUUUGGGAAAAUUAAUUUUGAUCAAGUGAAAUUAAAUUAAUCAAGUUAAUUAAAAUAAAUAUGAUAUUUUUUGAAAUUAACUUUCAAGUCAGACAAUUAGCCCAAUGAGUAAUUGAACUUAAAAAUUGUACCCAAGAUCGAAAAUUGAACCCAAGAAUCAAAACUUGAGAUUGAAACCCAAAAAUUGGUCAAAUCGAGCUCCGUGUAUGAAACUGGAUCGAUGAUCUAUCCGACGGCUAGAUCGGACCGGUUGGGCUGUCACUGGCCUAGACCGAAUCGAUAGCAGCCAAAUUGGUCAAGCCCAUUUGGGAAAAACAAAAAUAGUUUUGGGUGCUGGGGGAGUCACGCCAGUGAUGGCACCGCCAAGCACGACAACUACGACAGCGACGAUCCAACAAUCGAUAGAUGGUCGGCGGUGACGAUUCUUCGAUGGUAGAGUGGUGGAAAAAUUAGACUCAUAAUAGGACUCUAUCAGGUAACUUGAUUAAAAUUUCCAAAGAUAAUAUUAUUUUAAUGAAUUUAAUAUUUAAUUUAAUUUAAUAUUUAUCUAGAUAUUAAUAUGGGAUAUUAAAUUUAAUUUAAUAUUUACCUAGAUAUUAAUAUGGGAUAUUAAAUUUAAUUUAAUAUUUAUCUAUAUAAUAUUUUAUUAAUUUAAUAUUAAUGUGAUUAAUUCUAAUCCUAGUUAAACUCUCUCUAAACUCUCCCUAUAUAAAAAGAGCAUGGGUCAUUAUUCUCAUACACUUGAAUUCAAGAAAAAUUGUAGAGAGAAAAUUCUCUAAAAAAAUGAUUUCAGAAAAUUUCUAGAGAUAUUCUUGUUAUUUAUAACUUGACCCCAUAAGUUUAGAAAAAUUACGAAAUUACUCCACUAGUAAUUUUGGGAAAUUUUUUUUAAUUUGAAGCGAGCUCACACUUGGCAAACGUGUGCUUGAGGAUACGGGGAAGACUACUCAAUUGAAACGUUCAUCCUAGACGAAUCAUAAAGGUACGAUUUUGGUAAAGUAUUUAUUAUUUUAGAUAACACAAUCAAGUUCUUGUUUUUGGAAAAAGAAUUUAAAACUCUAGUUUUCCCUUAAACCUAUUUUCCAUUGCAUUUUCCAAACUCGAUCUUCCAACAUGACAUCCCUAUGUCAAUGACAACAUUUUGUUAUCAAUCAACUACAUAUCAGUCUCAAUGUAUUAUUAUUGCUUAAGCUCGCAAUAAUACUUGACUAAGGACAUUUAAGAAUAAUCACAUUAUUCUUAGGACUAAAAUAAUAAUGGCAAUGUCUUUUAUUAAUAAACUAGGUGAACAAGUAUGUGAUUACAAUCAUCGCAUGAUUAGUCUUUGGGCAUACUCUAAUACAAUAUUGUUGGAAAAUUUGUUUAUGAGAACGAUUUUGUUGCAUAGCAAAAUUUCAAAAACUUUUAUAAAACUUGAAACUUUGUUGUGAUAUCUAUGGCCAUAUAUUUUACCAAACAUAAUACCUACUUUAUUGGACUAGCAAAAUUUGUUGGUUCUUGGCUUUCAAGCAAAUGAUUUUCUCAGCCAUCUUCAAACCCUUAGUUACUAAGGAGUGGGUUAUUAUCACAAACCGAUCAUAGAAGAAAAACUAAAACUUUCUAGUGGAGAAAAUUCACUUUUUCUAUGGGAAAUCAAACUGAAAUUAAUGACUCGAGUACUCAUGAAAUAUAGAAUUCAUUUUGUAGCUAAAUAAAUUUUCCUAAAUUUCGACCUCAUCUUAUAAGUGUGUGUCUUCAGUUACCCCAUAGUCACUUUAUAUAGAGAAAAAUAUGAGUUCUACUUGAACAAGAAGAGAAGAAAAGUAAUAUUUUAAUAGAAAACCAAAAUCCUACUAGGAGUUAUAGGAGUUAAUGCACUAGACAACACAUACUAGGUUUCCCAAACCUAGUGUGCUUCCCACCCCUAGUGUUAUUGGGCUCAUUUAACCAUUCAUGUAUUUAGUAAAAUUAUAUGUGUAGGUCCAUUUUAAUUAAAACAAGCUCAAUUAAUUAUCCAACCCAAUAACUAGUUUUCUAUUCCUAAAAUAUUAUUUAUUCAACUAAUUAAUUCAAUAAAAUAAUAUUUUGGGAAUAGAAAUUGAUUAUUGGGUUGGAUAACUAUAUGAGCUUGUUUUAUUAAAAACUAGAUUGUAAAUAUAAUUAUACCCAAUACAAUAAAAUGCCCAAAAAGCUCAUCUUACUAAACGGGUGGGCGGCACAUUGAGUAAUCCUAGUAAGGGUGUGUUGCCUACCACAAGCACUCUUAGUAGGAGUAUGAGUUUUCUAUUAAAAUAUUAUUUAUCCCUCUUCUUGUUCAAGUAGAGCUCUUGUAUUUUUUUCUCUAUACAAAGGAAUCAUGGGAAGUCGAAAUACAAACACUCAUCGAUACGUGGUUAUUUUAUUAUUUUAUUAAAAUUUAGGGAAAUUUAUUAGCUACAAAUAAAUUUUAAAUUUUGUUAGCACUUGAGUUUUUCGAUUUUGGUUAUUAAGAAGAGAAUUUAUUUUUCCAUUGAAAAAAUUAAAGUUUUAGUAUUGUGAUCGAUUUAGGACUAGGAGCCCUCUCUUUACAACUAAAGGUAAGAGAAUAACGGAGAAGGUUGAUUGGUAGAAAGUUAGAAAAUCGACAGAUCGCACUAGACCAAAAUGCAUAUAUUAAAUUUGGUAAAAUUUAUUGCCAUGGAUAACACAACAAAGGUUUGGUUUUAUGAAAAUUUUUAAAAUUUUCGUUGUGAAUUUCGUAACUAAUUUUUCGAUCAAUUGGUAUCAUACCAGGUUGUGUUAUGUUGUAAAUUUAUUAUCGAAUUACCUCGUCUCUCUAUUGUUUGAUUAAAUUGAUAGAAAGUGACAUUAUUAUCUUAUGCGUGCUUUUGGAUUGUAUAUGUGAAUGGAUGUUUAUAGAUGUUAUAAAAAAUUUUAAUUAUGAAUUUUGCUAAAGUUGUGGUUUCUAAAAUUAGAUUGGGUAUAUUUUAGGUUAAAUUUUUUAUUAUGUAAUACGAUCGUAAACUAUCAUCUCCAUAUAGGGUUUUUUAUUUUUCCUUAAAAUAAAAAGUCUUGUGAGUUGGAAACAGACUAAGUCUUAUACCAAUUACAAACCAGAGACCUCGAAGUAGAUUAGACGGAAAAAUGGAUGAACAGUUGAAGAAGGAGAAGUUGGCGUUGUGGACAAUAGUCGGAGCAUCGCAAUUGUUGAGGUGAUGCGAGGGGCAUCGCGCCCCAUUGUGUGAGCUAGGCACACAGCAUCGGCCGAGGCCUCGUGCCUUAGCAGAGCAGUCUUGCGAGGCUACCGCGUGAGAGCAAGGGCAUCACACCUUAACAACAUGCAAAAGGUGCCAAGGAUGGCCGAGGCAUCGCACCCCUGUCCGGCAUCCAUGCACGUAGAAAGUUGCUCUUAAUAGUUACAUAUUUUAUCAAUUUAAUCUUAAUUCUAAAAAAAAAAUCAACAAAAUUAAUCUCUAACAUUACACGUUUACACAGAAUCUUACUUAGCUGACCGUUCGUUAUUUCCUACAUGAAUAACGAACAAAUAUCAACCACAUAAAAUGUUGAUUUGAAAUGGCUACUUAAAUAGCCAGUUUUGUUAAUCCCCCCCUUUUAUUAAAGAAGUAUAGCAUUGGGAGUCUGACACUGCACUCUCCUUUCUCAAGCAAAACUAAUCUAAAGCAGACAUCAACCUUCACUUUUUUCUCUCUAAAACUUCCUUCCUUAAACCACUACUUGUCUUAUUUUUUGAUCAAUAUUUCAUAACCUUCAUUAAAAAUCCAAUCAUACUAACCAAAAUGGAAGCAUCGGGAAAAGGCACGAGGAGCGAGGUAAUUAUGGUGCUCGAAUAUGGUCUUGUUACCUGGGUUUGGGUCUUUGGUUCAGUAUGCUAGAGAGGGGGUGAGAAUUAAGGGUAUAUUAUGUUGGAGCCAACGAUCAAUGCAAACGACAUUAAAAAUUGUAAAAUAAACAAAAAAAACUUGGAACAAUGGCGGUCACAAACCCAUAAAUUAUAACAGAAAGCGGGAAAGGGAUAUAAUUCACAUUUUGUAUUAUGCCUUGGUAAUGCAACAAGUGAAUGUAGAAAACUCGGAGGGGGUGCUCAAUACCCAAACUCUCAAAACAAAUGAAAUUGUAGCCUUUCUAAAUUUAAACACAAAAUUUGUCCAAAUUAAAAAAAUAUAUAAAUUUUGUUAUUAUAUCAAUCGAAAUUAUACAUAAUUGAUAAAAAAUAUUAAUAUUACGAUUAAUUAUCUUUAAAUGCUCAUCUACUUUUGAAAUUAAUAGAGAUUAAACUGUUCCUAAUUUAGACAUAUUAUAAAAUUAAAAAAAUUUUCAACCGAGCGAAACUCAAAUCAUAUUUUAAAUGGAAUUAGUUUUUUAGGCCCAUUUUGGGCAUCAUAGUUUUGCGCCCAACCCUUCCACCUUUGGGCGUACAAAGAAAAGCUAAGCUAGCCGAUAAUUACCUUGGAGUUGGACUCGGAGAUCAAGCAAAGCAUUUUCAUAACCCAAUUUUUUUUCUUCAAACACAAAUCAAAGGGAGAAAAAAGAAUGGAAGUGGAGGGUUCAUCGAAGAAGAUGAUAGCAACACAAGCAGAGAUGGUGGAGAACAAGGUCCCCAUCCCGUACAGGGAUCAAUGUGCACAUCUUCUCAUCCCGCUCAACAAGUGCCGCCAAGCCGAGUUUUACUUACCUUGGAAAUGCGAGAUUGAACGCCACUCCUAU